This 75-nucleotide transfer RNA is filed under the name Acidobacteriota bacterium. RNAcentral describes it as "Acidobacteria bacterium (activated sludge metagenome) tRNA-Ile". It matches the Rfam family "tRNA". Rfam says of the family: Transfer RNA (tRNA) molecules are approximately 80 nucleotides in length. Lineage: Bacteria; Pseudomonadati; Acidobacteriota. RNAcentral also lists the same sequence under 1 other name. The record is from RNAcentral.
GCCCUUGUAGCUCAAUGGUAGAGCACGCGGCUCAUAAUCGCUUGGUUGUAGGUUCGAAUCCUUCCGAGGGCACCA